AUUGAACGCUGGCGGCAGGCCUAACACAUGCAAGUCGAGCGGAUGAAGGGAGCUUGCUCCUGGAUUCAGCGGCGGACGGGUGAGUAAUGCCUAGGAAUCUGCCUGGUAGUGGGGGAUAACGUCCGGAAACGGGCGCUAAUACCGCAUACGUCCUGAGGGAGAAAGUGGGGGAUCUUCGGACCUCACGCUAUCAGAUGAGCCUAGGUCGGAUUAGCUAGUUGGGGGGGUAAAGGCCUACCAAGGCGACGAUCCGUAACUGGUCUGAGAGGAUGAUCAGUCACACUGGAACUGAGACGCGGUCCAGACUCCUACGGGAGGCAGCAGUGGGGAAUAUUGGACAAUGGGCGAAAGCCUGAUCCAGCCAUGCCGCGUGUGUGAAGAAGGUCUUCGGAUUGUAAAGCACUUUAAGUUGGGAGGAAGGGCAGUAAGUUAAUACCUUGCUGUUUUGACGUUACCAACAGAAUAAGCACCGGCUAACUUCGUG
RNAcentral lists this ribosomal RNA (484 nucleotides) under uncultured bacterium. RNAcentral describes it as "partial 16S ribosomal RNA". It matches the Rfam family "Bacterial small subunit ribosomal RNA", at positions 30 to 507 of the family's 1533-position model. The record is from RNAcentral.